AACUCUUCUCCCCAAAAAAUGCAACAUUUUAUUACACCAUAUUUGCACAUGUUAUACAUGUUGUGAUACCAAUCAUGACACUUAGUAUUAUCUAGAUGACUUAGAUCGACUAUAAUAAGGUCAGCUACUAUAUGUACUAACGAAUUAAAUAUGUUAUUCUAAGAAAUAUAACUUCUUGAAGUUCAGUUAAACAAAAAAAACCAUUAACCUUAACAACAACAGGCUAGAUUGCCUGUAUUUUACUAUUACCAACUGUCACAAAAUGACAGUUGGCAAUUUGACUUUUUCCCUUUAAGGGUUAAUUGCAAUAGCACACGCUUAUCGUCUUUAUUAAGGUUCAAUUUACACUGAAAGAGCAGUGGCCGCGCCGCGCUGGCAGUCUUUAUAUAACAAAUCAUUUUGAAUUUAAUAUAUAUGAGUGAAAAGUUCAAAGUCAUUUGGAGGCAAGGGAAGCAUCCAAACGGUAAUUAUAAAGCAGGAGGAUCUACUACUAUUCUUAAAGUAAUAAUAAUAUUCUUGUGGAAGCGUGACAGCGCUAUACACGGCGUAGAGCGGCAUCUCUUUUCCACACCCGCCAUUAUACUACCUACUUUAAGAAAUGGCAGUAAGCCCUGAGACACGAAUCGAUCUGAUAUCGAGCGUAUGAUACAAGGUCAGUGUUUAUUUAAUCUGUAUUCAGUUAGGAAUAACACAUUAAACUCGUUUACAUACAUAAUAAAUAAUUUACAAUAAAAUACAUAUUUCAAAAAAGGCUUUCAAAACAGUCUACACCAAAAUUAUAAUAAAAAAACAUGGUCCAAUUUAUAAAUUAAAAUGCACAUCAAAAUUUAUAUUUAAAACGAUCAUAAAUCAAUCAUAAUCCAAUCGAACUUAUUAAGUACGAAAAUAUAAAAAUACAAAAAAAAUGUCCAAAUAAAGUCUUUUCAGUGUCAAAUAAAUAGAUCAAAGUUGUUCGUAUUUUAAAAUAUCUUUGGAUAUACUGGGGUAGACGACAUUAUUUAUGUAAGGGUUGAUUUUUAUAUUAAAAAAAAAUAGGAGAGACGAUUGUAGAAGUUACAUACACAAGAUACAGAAGUUACAAGCCGUUCCCUUUCAGUAAUUUGAUAUUUCGCAAGUCAUUGCACUGCUGUCGUAAUUUAUAUUUAUCAUUGGGUACAAUAUCUUCUAUCUGAAAAAGAGCUGGAACGUAUAAAAAAACAUCGUCUAAUAUUUUUUUAUUAACCCAACUGUCGGAUUUAUACACUAACUUUUUAUCGCAGGAAAGGUUUUUCAGGUCAAAUUUUAAGUUAUUGACAUCAAAAAUCAUCUAAUUAAAAGCUUAUACAAAAUGCAGUUUGGUCUUGAUUUAAAAUAUACCGCACCGCAAUUAAAAUGAAAAACAUUAACUUACUAAAUCAGUUAUAAAUAAAAUGUUUAUACAUUUAAUUUGUGAUAUGCAAUUAUGACACUUAUAGCCCAGACAACACAAGAAAAAUUGGCAGCUAAUUUUAUACGCUGUUUUAUCAAAACAAAAAUGCUUUUUAAAUAUAUCUUUAACAAAAUUUAGGACAUAUUUGAUCAGCAAAUAUAGCAGUAGAAAACUUAUAAAUGCUUGAAAUAUUUUCCUUAGCUACAUAUAUGUAUACGUUAGUUAAAAGAAGAUACAGCAGCGAUUAUACAGGGUGUCCCAAAA
Trichoplusia ni (cabbage looper) is the source of this 1672-nucleotide long non-coding RNA. RefSeq lists it as uncharacterized. The record is from RefSeq and is a predicted model, not a curated record. NCBI's taxonomy places the organism in Eukaryota, Metazoa, Arthropoda, Insecta, Lepidoptera, Noctuidae. The transcript is spliced from 2 exons.